CAGUCGCCGCGGUAAUACGUAGGGUGCAAGCGUUAAUCGGAAUUACUGGGCGUAAAGCGUGCGUAGGCGGCUUUUUAAGUCGGAUGUGAAAUCCCCGAGCUCAACCUGGGAAUGGCGCUUGUGACUGCAAAGCUAGAGUGCGGCAGAGGGGGAUGGAAUUCCGCGUGUAGCAGUGAAAUGCGUAGAUAUGCGGAGGAACACCGAUGGCGAAGGCAAUCCCCUGGGCCUGCACUGACGCUCAUGCACGAAAGCGUGGGGAGCAAACAGGAUUAGAUACCCCGGUAGUCCCUGUCUCUUAUAC
RNAcentral lists this ribosomal RNA (301 nucleotides) under uncultured bacterium. RNAcentral describes it as "partial 16S ribosomal RNA". It matches the Rfam family "Bacterial small subunit ribosomal RNA", at positions 509 to 807 of the family's 1533-position model. The record is from RNAcentral.